RNAcentral lists this ribosomal RNA (412 nucleotides) under uncultured bacterium. Its description in RNAcentral is "bacterial SSU rRNA". It matches the Rfam family "Bacterial small subunit ribosomal RNA", at positions 31 to 488 of the family's 1533-position model. The record is from RNAcentral.
GUACGCUGGCGGCACGCCUUAUACAUGCAAGUCGAACGAAGUAGCAAUACUUAGUGGCAGACGGGUGAGUAACAUGUAGGUAUCUUCCCUUUGGUGAGGAAUAACACGAGGAAACUUGUGCUAAUACCUCAUAAGUCUUUACGGAGAAAGCUUUAUGCGCCGAAGGAUGAGCCUGCACUUGAUUAGUUUGUUGGUGGGGUAAUGGCCUACCAAGACUUUGAUCUAUAGCUGAUCUGAGAGGAUGAUCAGCCACAUUGGGACUGAGACACGGCCCAAACUCCUACGGGAGGCAGCAGUAGGGAAUAUUGCACAAUGGAGGAAACUCUGAUGCAGCGAUGCCGCGUGAGUGAAGAAGGCCUUUGGGUUGUAAAGCUCUUUCGUCGGGGAAGAAAAUGACUGUACCCGAAUAAGA